GCCAGGCGUGGUGAUGCAUGCCUGUAGUCUCAGCUACUCAGGAGGCUGAGGUGGGAGGAUCGCUUGAGCCCAGGAGUUCUGGGCUGUAAUGUGCUAUGCUGAUCGGGUGUCCACACUAAGUUCGGCAUCAAUAUGGUGACCUUCUGGGAGAGGAAACCAUCAGGUUGUCUGAGGAGGAGUGAACCGGCCCAGGUCAGAAAUGGAGCAGGUCAAAACUCCCGUGUUGAUCAGUAGUGGGAUCGUGCCUAUGAAUAGCUACUGAACUCCAGCCUGAGCAACCAUGGUGCAACCCCGUCUUUU
Callithrix jacchus (white-tufted-ear marmoset) is the source of this 300-nucleotide unclassified non-coding RNA. It matches the Rfam family "Metazoan signal recognition particle RNA". Rfam says of the family: The signal recognition particle (SRP) is a universally conserved ribonucleoprotein. The record is from Ensembl. Lineage: Eukaryota; Metazoa; Chordata; Mammalia; Primates; Cebidae.